This 253-nucleotide ribosomal RNA is filed under the name uncultured bacterium. Its description in RNAcentral is "partial 16S ribosomal RNA". It matches the Rfam family "Bacterial small subunit ribosomal RNA", at positions 524 to 776 of the family's 1533-position model. The record is from RNAcentral.
CACGGGGGGAGCAAGCGUUGUUCGGAUUCAUUGGGCGUAAAGCGCGCGUAGGCGGCUAUCUAAGUCGGAUGUGAAAGCCCCUGGCUUAACUGGGGAAGUGCACCCGAAACUGGGUAGCUAGAGUGCGAAAGAGGGUCGCGGAAUUCCCGGUGUAGAGGUGAAAUUCGUAGAUAUCGGGAGGAACACCGGUGGCGAAGGCGGCGACCUGGGUCGACACUGACGCUGAGGCGCGAAAGCGUGGGGAGCAAACAGG